This is a non-coding RNA of Chelonoidis abingdonii (Abingdon island giant tortoise), 267 nucleotides long. NCBI's taxonomy places the organism in Eukaryota, Metazoa, Chordata, Testudines, Testudinidae. The record is from RefSeq and is a predicted model, not a curated record.
AAGGAACCUGACUUUGCGGUCCACUGAGCCAAUGGCAAGCAAGUUCCCACCACUGUAGUGGAUUACCCUGUGUGGAUCUGACCUGGUGAAACUAAUUCUGGAGGAAGGCACGCAUAAGAGGGGCAGAAUCGAACCCUGAAAUUUGGGCACAAAUCAUGAGCUUACAGGGGUGUUGCAAAAGAUGGAGUUGUCUUGGCUCACUCAGCUGAAGUCUUAUUAGACAAAGGCAGAAGGAGAAAGACAAUGACACAAUAGAGAGCGGGUGAC